This is a non-coding RNA of Cyprinodon tularosa, 572 nucleotides long. Lineage: Eukaryota; Metazoa; Chordata; Actinopteri; Cyprinodontiformes; Cyprinodontidae. The record is from the annotation of a RefSeq genome assembly.
CUGCUGUCUGACUCUACCUGAAAACAUGUUACUUUACUUCUUGCUGCUUUUCUCUCUCUGCAUAGCCAUGGGCUCCAUGAACACCAUCAAACAGGAACAGAGGGAACAAGCUGUUUCAGAGGGAAGAAGCACCAGUUUGAGCUGUGAAUAUACUGGUUCUAUCUACAAUAUCCAGUGGUACCGACAGCAGCAGAGAUCCAGACCAGAGUUCCUGCUCUACAUCACAGAGGCUGGAGAGAUUCAUCCAGUUAGGUCUGAUUUCUCUGCUAAAAUCAACAAAAUGACGAAACAAGUGGACCUGCUGAUCUCCUCUGCUGCAGCGACAGACUCUGCUGUGUACUACUGUGCUGUGAGGCCCACAGUGACAGGAAACACCAGAACUCUGUACAAGAACCUGCAAUACUCCACAACAUCCACUAGAGGGCAUCACACACUGUUCCUCCUCUAUGGUUUGUUAGGAUUCAGUCUGAUUGUUUGUGCAGCUGAGAAUAAAGCAGACAUCAGAGUGUUUGCUGCAUCAUUGAACUCUAUGAUGAGAAGGUUUGGAUCAUAAAGGAGGGAUGAUGGAGGCU